RNAcentral lists this ribosomal RNA (252 nucleotides) under Triticum aestivum (bread wheat). Its description in RNAcentral is "partial small subunit ribosomal RNA". Lineage: Eukaryota; Viridiplantae; Streptophyta; Magnoliopsida; Poales; Poaceae. The record is from RNAcentral.
AUGUCUGGAAGCACGGGAGAACAUUCUUUUGCUGAUAUUAUUUCCAGUAUUCGAUACUGGGUUAUUCAUAGCAUUACUAUACCUUCCCUAUUCAUUGCGGGUUGGUUAUUUGUCAGUACGGGUUUAGCUUAUGACGUGUUUGGAAGUCCUAGGCCAAACGAGUAUAUCACGGAAAGUCGACAAGGAAUUCCGUUAAUAACCGACCGUUUUGAUUCUUUAGAACAACUCGAUGAAUUUAGUAGAUCCUUUUAG